Panicum hallii is the source of this 936-nucleotide long non-coding RNA. RefSeq lists it as uncharacterized. The transcript is spliced from 3 exons. NCBI's taxonomy places the organism in Eukaryota, Viridiplantae, Streptophyta, Magnoliopsida, Poales, Poaceae. The record is from RefSeq and is a predicted model, not a curated record.
ACCCAGCCUUCCACUUCCCCAGCCUCCGCUUCCUCGCCUACCCUCCGCUUCCCCAGUUUCCGCGCCGACCCUCUCCCUGCGCCCCCUCCCCGCCGCCCCUCUCUCCGCGCCGCCUCCAUCUCAUGCUCCGGCGCCCCUGCCCCUCCCCCCGCCUCUCGCGCACCUCCCUCUCUCUGCACCUGUCACCUGCCAUCCCCUCCCUUCUCCCUACUGUGCGUCACCGCCCCUCUGAUUCGGGCCGCCCCAACCAUCGCGCCCGGAUCCACGCCGCCGCCACUGCCCUCCCCCCGACCGGAGCUGCACCACCGGCCCCUGAAUCGCACCCCUGCGCUCCUCAACCUGGAGCGGUGCUCCGCCCCUGCCCUCCUCGACCUGGAGCAGCGCCGGUGCCCCUUCCAUCCCCCCCUCCGACCGAGCAGCGCCGCUGCCCCUGCCCUUCCCCCCGACCGGAGCAGUGCCGCUGCAAUCAGGAGCUAGUUCACCUUAUAUGACGAGGAUCAUAUAUAGUCUAGCCUUUUAUGGAGGAGGGGAAGAACCUGUACCUGGGAGCCAACAAUAAACUAUAUUCAAUGCCUUAUAUCAGGAACUAAGAGAGGUCUGGAACUGGAUCAAAAAGCCCCUGUUCCUGAUAAUCGACGAACCGGAAGAUGCUCCACUAUUAGAGGAGAACAAAGGAUAGAUCCUAUUUGUGAUUUAUGGUCUUAUAUUGCAUAGGUAAUUAAGGUAGUAAAUAUGUGGCUGAGUGCAGCAUCACCUGUGUACUUCUCCUGUAAGUUGUAUUUUCUAGUGCAAAUGAUUUUAUGGUUGAGUGGAUUGAUUUGUUUUCGCGAUAAAAUAGCUGAAUGGCUAUAGAAUAUUUGGAUGACUGAUUCUGUUAGGUCUUGUUGCGCUAUAUUUUGUGACGAAUCAAAUUGUCAUAAUGGGAUUGCCAUAUCA